GCUCAUAUUGGCAACUUAUUAACAUCAAAAUUCUUCAGUUAUAAGGAUUUUGAUACUUUAUUAUAUACCUGUGCAGCAGAGUUUGACUUUAUGGAAAAAGAGACUCCACUGAGAUACACAAAGACAUUAUUGUUUCCAGUUGUUCUUGUAGUGUUUGUUGCUAUUGUUAGAAAGAUUAUUAGUGAUAUGUGGGGUGUCUUAGCUAAACAACAGACACACAUAAGAAAACACCAGUUUGAUCAUGGAGAGCUGGUUUACCAUGCAUUGCAAUUGUUAGCAUAUACAGCCCUUGGUAUUUUAAUUAUGAGACUAAAACUCUUCUUGACACCACACAUGUGUGUUAUGGCAUCACUGAUCUGCUCAAGACAGCUAUUUGGAUGGCUCUUUUGCAAAGUACAUCCUGGUGCUGUUGUUUUUGCUAUAUUAGCAGCAAUGUCAAUACCAGGUUCAGCAAAUCUGCAAACCCAGUGGAAUACUGUAGGGGAGUUCAGCAACUUGCCACAAGAAUUUAUAGAAUGGAUCAAAUAUAGUACUAAACCAGAUGCAAUGUUUGCAGGUGCCACGCCCAGGAUGGCAAGUGUUAAGCUCUCUGUGCUUCAGCCCAUUGUGAAUCAUCCACAUUAUGAAGAUGCAGGCUUGAAACAAAAAUAGUAUACUCAAUGUAUAGUCAGAAAGCAGCUGAAGAAGUGAAGCGAGAACUGAUAGUUAAAAGUGAACUAUUACAUUCUAGAAAAGUCAUGGUGUGUAAGAAGAUCCAAGCCUGGUUGCAGUAUGCCUGAAAUUUGGGAUGUAGAAGAUCCUGCCAAUGCUGGGAAAACUCCCUUAUGUAACCUCUUGGUGAAGGAUUCCAAACCUCACUUCACCACUGUAUUCCAGAACAGUGUUUACAAAGUCCUAGAAGUUGUAAAAGAAUGA
RNAcentral lists this long non-coding RNA (915 nucleotides) under Homo sapiens (human). Its description in RNAcentral is "non-protein coding lnc-FKBP9-4:1". Lineage: Eukaryota; Metazoa; Chordata; Mammalia; Primates; Hominidae. The record is from RNAcentral.